ACAUGGAUUAUUUUCAAGGCAGAUACAACUCUGAAUAUAUACUGACUUUUUCAGUGAAGGAAGUAUAUCUGUAUUAGAAGUCUGCCAUUGUAGGAGGUCUUGAGGAAUCUGGCUACCAUUGCCCUUACCAUUGUGGCCAAUUAUCUACUGAAUGCACAAGGAAGGCAUAAAGGCAACUGGAGGUUUUGCAGAAGUACAAAGGAAAUUUAAAGAAGAAAAACUAGUGGAGAAAAUGAUCAAGUCAGACUCAUUUUCUUCAAAUUAACAGGAAAUUACAAAGGACAAAUUCCAGACAAAGAUUAUAAUUUAAAUGAAUGUCCAUUUCAAAGCCAAGAUGAUAAAAUGAUGGAAUCCAGAGAUCCAUCACUUU
This is a non-coding RNA of Pantherophis guttatus, 370 nucleotides long. NCBI's taxonomy places the organism in Eukaryota, Metazoa, Chordata, Lepidosauria, Squamata, Colubridae. The record is from RefSeq and is a predicted model, not a curated record.